CAAUAGCGUAUAUUAAAGUUGUUGCAGUUAAAAAGCUCGUAGUUGGAUUUCUGGUCGGAAGCUCCUGUCCUCUGAUGAGCGUACAAGUGCGUCCUACCAUCCUUCUGUUAACCUUUAAGGCUUUCGCGGCUUUCUGGGGGCUCAGAUAUUUUACCUUGAGAAAAUUAGAGUGUUUCAGGCAGGCUAGCGCCGGAAUACAUUAGCAUGGAAUAAUGGAAUAGGACUUUUGCCUCUUCUGUUGGUCAUGAGGCUCGAGUAAUGAUUAAUAGGGAUAGUUGGGGGCAUUAGUACUUAACUGUCAGAGGUGAAAUUCUCGGAUUUGUUAAAGACUAACUUAUGCGAAAGCAUUUGCCAAGGAUGUUUNCAUUAA
Molecule: ribosomal RNA, 370 nt
Filed under: uncultured eukaryote
Lineage: Eukaryota
Description: partial 18S ribosomal RNA
Rfam family: Eukaryotic small subunit ribosomal RNA
Source: RNAcentral